AUUGAACGCUGGCGGCAGGCUUAACACAUGCAAGUCGAGCGGAGCGAGGGUGCUUGCACCUUAGCUUAGCGGCGGACGGGUGAGUAAUGCUUAGGAAUCUGCCUAUUAGUGGGGGACAACAUUCCGAAAGGAAUGCUAAUACCGCAUACGCCCUACGGGGGAAAGCAGGGGAUCUUCGGACCUUGCGCUAAUAGAUGAGCCUAAGUCGGAUUAGCUAGUUGGUGGGGUAAAGGCCUACCAAGGCGACGAUCUGUAGCGGGUCUGAGAGGAUGAUCCGCCACACUGGGACUGAGACACGGCCCAGACUCCUACGGGAGGCAGCAGUGGGGAAUAUUGGACAAUGGGCGGAAGCCUGAUCCAGCCAUGCCGCGUGUGUGAAGAAGGCCUUUUGGUUGUAAAGCACUUUAAGCGAGGAGGAGGCUACUUAGAUUAAUACUCUGGGAUAGUGGACGUUACUCGCAGAAUAAGCACCGGCUAACUCUGUGCCAGCCGCCGCCGUAA
Molecule: ribosomal RNA, 501 nt
Filed under: uncultured bacterium
Lineage: Bacteria
Description: partial 16S ribosomal RNA
Rfam family: Bacterial small subunit ribosomal RNA
Source: RNAcentral